AUCGAUGCUGCCAGCACUUGCCCAGCCCCAGGUGUGCCCAGGACUGGGUGCUGCGGCAGCGCCACAUACUCACUUUACUCGACAGACACGAUGAGCUUCCCCCACCGCUCGGCUGUCCCCAUGGGGCCACUGCAGGACUUGAAUAUGAGUAAGUCCCUGAGAGAGCUUCUGGCUACUCAGUCUGCUGUUUCCUCACUGAUCCGGGGUGGGGGGGGGAACCGGGUGCCCAAAGGUGCAUUGGACCUGCCUGUCUCCCCAGCUCAGAGCCUGGGGACAUGUGGCACAAGCUACCCCUGCAGGGCUGGGAACCACAGAAGGGCCAGGGAUGUGGUGGACAAGAGAGAGGCGCCUUUGACCACAGCCCGCAGCAUGAAGACAGCAGGAAGAGUGUGAGCCGCUCUCAGGAGGAAGGAGGGGGCCUUGAAUAUUUUCUGAGGCCUCAUUUUACCCGCCGGGUCCUCGGAACAUGAAGCAGCUCAGUUGUAAACUAGUCUGGUGGAGAAGGCCACAAGGCUGGAACUCGGAACCCUGAAAAUCUUCCACCGCUGCCUUGCUGUGUGUCUUGGGACAAGUUGCUCACCCUCUCUGGGCUCAAUAGUAAAAAAUGGAGACGGAGGGACUAGAGGCCUGGCAAGUGUUUCCUUUCAUCUUCCCAGGGAGGGUCAGCCCAUUCCAGGGGGCUGUGGGCAUCUCUGGAGAGACUUACCCCUUUGGCUUCAGUGCACGUCCUGAGGAAGCUGUGUCUGGAUCUGGGGAGCUGCUGGCAGAGGCUGAGCUGGGACAUCUAAGGCCCGUGUGGACGUGCAGCGGCACCUGAGGACUUGGAGGGAGUCUCAAGAUGAGCCUUGGGCCUCCCUUUAAGGAGGUUGCAUCACUGUUUCAUGGGCGGGGCCGGAAGGGGGCACUGGGCCCAUGUCACUCCAUAGUUGCAGUUUGCUGUCAACAGAGGCAUCUUGUUCACUAAAUAAUAAGCUCUAAAUAAAAAUGGCAAUAAUAUCUUCCUCGUUGGUGAC
Molecule: long non-coding RNA, 1013 nt
Filed under: Sus scrofa (pig)
Lineage: Eukaryota; Metazoa; Chordata; Mammalia; Artiodactyla; Suidae
Description: lncRNA (ENSSSCG00060051310.1)
Source: RNAcentral